AUAUCUCCCAGUGUGCCCCAAAUCUUCCCAGUUCAAUUAUUGUUUUAAUAACAAACAAAACUCAAAGCAAAUAUUUACCUCUGUGUGGAGGUUUGAAUAGGAAUGGGCCCCAUAGAUUCAUGUGUUUGAAUGCUUGGCCCAUGAGGAGUAGCAUUAUUAGGAAGUGUAGCCUUGUUGGAGGAAGUGUUUUACGGUGGGGGUGGGCUUUGAUAUCUCCUAUGUUUAGGCUUUUCCCAGUUCAGAGGAGAUUGUCUGGCUGCCUUUGGAUCCUCCAGCACCAAAUCUGCCUGCACAAUGCCAUGCUUCCCAUCAUGAUGAAACCUUGGGUGUUUCAGAGUGGCCCUCCUGGUAUCUCUUGUUAUCUCUGCCCUGAGGUGUAGUGUAUCCUUGAAGGCAAAGUCUUCUUUUUAAUGAUGUGUGUUGAUUUUGUGAGGUUAUAUAGAUUAUUUCAUGGAAACAGUGUCAUCUAAAAAUUUAUAUUUCUAAAUUACACCAGGGUAUACCUUUUUUUUUUUUUUUUGGACAACUAGAUUAUUUGUCACCUACUCAGCUACUCAGUAGAUACUUCAUUUAGCUUUGUUGACAGGAAUUUAGUAAAAUUCAGUUUUACAGAAAAAGUACUAAGUCUUAAAAGCUGUUUUCCUGUGUUAUGACAGUUGGAUAGUUUUCAGUAGAGCAGUACUGAAAGCAAUCCAUUUUUUUAGUGCCUAAAAAGCAUAAACACACCCUCGAUCUGUGCUGCUUUGCUGAUUAGCUGCCUCCUCCCACAUCGUUGAUAAGAGAGAUUUGUACAACUCCUGUGUGCCAGGCCCUGGUCAAAGCUGAUGGUCUCUCCUCUCCCUCACAGACUGCCUCUAAGGUAAGUACCAUAUUUCCUAUGGAAACAGGAAAACUGAAAAGUGAGAUGCCUUUCUCUGUUCUCUCUUACUUCUCACUGAGGGCAUUGUGUGCUUUGGUCCUUGACUCACACACCAGGGAAGACAACCAUGGAAACUUGGAUCUCAUGGUACAGGUUCUGUGGGCAGACAUCUCUGAUAUUGAUUCCUCAUACUUUUAGGGACUAAAUAAGCAUCACUAAAUCUUAGGACCUUCAUUUCUGAAGGUCAAUAACUCUAUGAGAAUUCAGUAAUGAAUGAAACACCAUGUUAUAUAUAUUUACCCCAUGUGAUAAAAUUUAUGUUAAAUAUUUUACCAGGAAAAAGUGUCUAUAACUGACACAAGUGUUCUGACGAUUUCACCUGUUGCCAUUUGUUUCCACUUUUGCUCUUAAAUUAGUUGAGUCUGCACAAGUGAGAUCAUGUAGAGAAUGGAAAAGAGAAUGAGUCACUACUGGAGAAUAAUUGCAGUGGGUCAAGCGCUUACCUGGAUUUCUCAGGAACCAGGGAUAAUGAAACAGCUGCCCAUCUUCCUGGCUUUGGAAAAAUCAUGUGGCUGGACCAAGAAAUCCAAUCAAUUUUUUGUAACUUUUAAUUGUACAGAACCAACAUCAACCUGUUCUUGUGGACUUCAGGCUUAGGGCCCUUUCUAUUUCCAGCUAGUUAUCUAGACAUGUUUUAUUGCGAAUAUGGGUUAGGGAAAAAUGCUCUUCCUGCCACUACAUAGAUAAAGGGUACUUAGGAUCUGGCUGAAAGCAACGUGAGAGUUGAACCAGCAAAACUGAUAGGAUUCCAAAUAUUUGGCAAAAGGAUUUAGGAUUCUAGAAAAGUAUUAUGAUUCAGAGAGGACUUUAAAUCCCAGGGCUGAGCAAUACUGGAGAUGUUGCUCAGUUGAUAGAAUGCUUGCCUAGUAUGCACACAGCAUUGGGCUUGAUCCUAGCACCACUUAAAGGAGCAUAGUGGUCUAUGCUUGCAAUACUAUCAUUUGGAAAGUGAAGGUGGGAGAAUCAGAAGCUCAGGAAUCCUCAGCCCUCAGCUACACAGCACAUUGAAGGCUAGCCCAUUCUAUAUGAGACACUGUCACAAUCAAACAUAC
RNAcentral lists this long non-coding RNA (1971 nucleotides) under Mus musculus (house mouse). RNAcentral's name for it is "long non-coding RNA chr5:104525113-104527084". The record is from RNAcentral. Lineage: Eukaryota; Metazoa; Chordata; Mammalia; Rodentia; Muridae.